ACAAAGGCUCUUUUAAGAGCCACCCACAUUGCAAUAAAAUAGUAUU
Non-coding RNA from Salmo salar (Atlantic salmon), 46 nucleotides. The record is from Rfam. Lineage: Eukaryota; Metazoa; Chordata; Actinopteri; Salmoniformes; Salmonidae.